This 971-nucleotide ribosomal RNA is filed under the name Klebsiella quasipneumoniae. Its description in RNAcentral is "bacterial SSU rRNA". It matches the Rfam family "Bacterial small subunit ribosomal RNA", at positions 51 to 1012 of the family's 1533-position model. Lineage: Bacteria; Pseudomonadati; Pseudomonadota; Gammaproteobacteria; Enterobacterales; Enterobacteriaceae. The record is from RNAcentral.
ACACAUGCAAGUCGAGCGGUAGCACAGAGAGCUUGCUCUCGGGUGACGAGCGGCGGACGGGUGAGUAAUGUCUGGGAAACUGCCUGAUGGAGGGGGAUAACUACUGGAAACGGUAGCUAAUACCGCAUAACGUCGCAAGACCAAAGUGGGGGACCUUCGGGCCUCAUGCCAUCAGAUGUGCCCAGAUGGGAUUAGCUAGUAGGUGGGGUAACGGCUCACCUAGGCGACGAUCCCUAGCUGGUCUGAGAGGAUGACCAGCCACACUGGAACUGAGACACGGUCCAGACUCCUACGGGAGGCAGCAGUGGGGAAUAUUGCACAAUGGGCGCAAGCCUGAUGCAGCCAUGCCGCGUGUGUGAAGAAGGCCUUCGGGUUGUAAAGCACUUUCAGCGGGGAGGAAGGCGAUAAGGUUAAUAACCUUGUCGAUUGACGUUACCCGCAGAAGAAGCACCGGCUAACUCCGUGCCAGCAGCCGCGGUAAUACGGAGGGUGCAAGCGUUAAUCGGAAUUACUGGGCGUAAAGCGCACGCAGGCGGUCUGUCAAGUCGGAUGUGAAAUCCCCGGGCUCAACCUGGGAACUGCAUUCGAAACUGGCAGGCUAGAGUCUUGUAGAGGGGGGUAGAAUUCCAGGUGUAGCGGUGAAAUGCGUAGAGAUCUGGAGGAAUACCGGUGGCGAAGGCGGCCCCCUGGACAAAGACUGACGCUCAGGUGCGAAAGCGUGGGGAGCAAACAGGAUUAGAUACCCUGGUAGUCCACGCCGUAAACGAUGUCGAUUUGGAGGUUGUGCCCUUGAGGCGUGGCUUCCGGAGCUAACGCGUUAAAUCGACCGCCUGGGGAGUACGGCCGCAAGGUUAAAACUCAAAUGAAUUGACGGGGGCCCGCACAAGCGGUGGGAGCAUGUGGUUUAAUUCGAUGCAACGCGAAGAACCUUACCUGGUCUUGACAUCCACAGAACUUGCCAGAGAUGGCUU